Molecule: ribosomal RNA, 230 nt
Filed under: uncultured bacterium
Lineage: Bacteria
Description: partial 16S ribosomal RNA
Rfam family: Bacterial small subunit ribosomal RNA
Source: RNAcentral
AAAGCGUGCGUAGGCGGCUGAUUAAGUCGGAUGUGAAAUCCCUGAGCUUAACUUAGGAAUUGCAUUCGAUACUGGUCAGCUAGAGUAUGGGAGAGGAUGGUAGAAUUCCAGGUGUAGCGGUGAAAUGCGUAGAGAUCUGGAGGAAUACCGAUGGCGAAGGCAGCCAUCUGGCCUAAUACUGACGCUGAGGUACGAAAGCAUGGGGAGCAAACAGGAUUAGAUACCCUGGU